AACGAACGCUGGCGGCAUGCCUAACACAUGCAAGUCGAACGAGACCUUCGGGUCUAGUGGCGCACGGGUGCGUAACGCGUGGGAAUCUGCCCUUGGGUUCGGAAUAACAGUUGGAAACGACUGCUAAUACCGGAUGAUGACGUAAGUCCAAAGAUUUAUCGCCCAGGGAUGAGCCCGCGUAGGAUUAGCUAGUUGGUGGGGUAAAGGCCUACCAAGGCGACGAUCCUUAGCUGGUCUGAGAGGAUGAUCAGCCACACUGGGACUGAGACACGGCCCAGACUCCUACGGGAGGCAGCAGUGGGGAAUAUUGGACAAUGGGCGAAAGCCUGAUCCAGCAAUGCCGCGUGAGUGAUGAAGGCCUUAGGGUUGUAAAGCUCUUUUACCCGGGAUGAUAAUGACAGGACCGGGAGAAUAAGCCCCGGCUAACUCCGU
This 432-nucleotide ribosomal RNA is filed under the name uncultured bacterium. Its description in RNAcentral is "partial 16S ribosomal RNA". It matches the Rfam family "Bacterial small subunit ribosomal RNA", at positions 29 to 506 of the family's 1533-position model. The record is from RNAcentral.